GAACCUCUUUCUCCCUUCGUGGCUGUAGAAGGAAGCUGGGAGGAUGGAGCUCAGAGCACAGCCCUGACUUCUAGGCAGCGCUGGGGAAGAUGAAACCCACACUUCCUUUCCUGACGGUUUGGAAAUGCAAUUAGUGAGGUGUUACAAACAUAUGGGGAAAAAAUCUCAUAUACUGUAAGACAACUGGCAGCCAGUGAAGAGUUGAAGGAAACUUCAGAGGGGUGUCUGAACUUCACUCUUUCCUGUUCCUUCUCCACAGCCAUUCGCUUUUAUCAACAGCAGCUUCCCACGAGAAAGAACUUUAGUCCAAUUUUGGAGAAAAAAGCUUUAGACGUAACUGAAGAAUGGGACAGAUAUAAGAACAAUCCAUCAAGGAAAUGCUGAGCUAAUUAACACGAUCUCACCUCUCAAAGUAGCAUUUUUUUUCCCCUUUGGUUGUUUCCCUGCAGAUCUCUGGCCAGUACCAUUUACAUUAGUACAACAGGAACCAAAGAGUCUCCUCUCAGACUGAUGCCAAGUAACAACUGUUUUGAAUUCCCAACUUUAAAAAGAAUGCUCCUAAAAUAAAUACAUGUUAUGUGCUGUA
Gallus gallus (chicken) is the source of this 586-nucleotide long non-coding RNA. RefSeq lists it as uncharacterized. The record is from RefSeq and is a predicted model, not a curated record. Lineage: Eukaryota; Metazoa; Chordata; Aves; Galliformes; Phasianidae. The transcript is spliced from 2 exons.